Molecule: non-coding RNA, 23 nt
Filed under: Arabidopsis thaliana (thale cress)
Lineage: Eukaryota; Viridiplantae; Streptophyta; Magnoliopsida; Brassicales; Brassicaceae
Source: RNAcentral
CAGGGAUCGAAACAGCUGCUCGG